This 253-nucleotide ribosomal RNA is filed under the name uncultured bacterium. Its description in RNAcentral is "partial 16S ribosomal RNA". It matches the Rfam family "Bacterial small subunit ribosomal RNA", at positions 524 to 776 of the family's 1533-position model. The record is from RNAcentral.
UACGUAGGGACCAAGCGUUGUUCGGAUUUACUGGGCGUAAAGGGCGCGUAGGCGGCGUGACAAGUCACUUGUGAAAUCUCCGGGCUUAACUCGGAAAGGUCAACUGAUACUGUGCGACUAGAGUGCAGAAGGGGCAACUGGAAUUCUCGGUGUAGCGGUGAAAUGCGUAGAUAUCGAGAGGAACACCUGCGGCGAAGGCGGGUUGCUGGGCUGACACUGACGCUGAGGCGCGAAAGCCAGGGGAGCGAACGGG